RNAcentral lists this ribosomal RNA (406 nucleotides) under uncultured bacterium. RNAcentral's name for it is "partial 16S ribosomal RNA". It matches the Rfam family "Bacterial small subunit ribosomal RNA", at positions 30 to 526 of the family's 1533-position model. The record is from RNAcentral.
AUUGAACGCUGGCGGCAGGCCUAACACAUGCAAGUCGAGCGAGCGGCGGACGGGUGAGUAUUGUCUGGGAAACUGCCUGAUGGAGGGGGAUAACUACUGGAAACGGUAGCUAAUACCGCAUACCCUCAGAUGUGCCCCGGUGGGAUUAGCUAGUAGGUUGGGUAAAGGCUCACCAAGGCGACGAUCCCUCGCUGGUCUGAGAGGAUGACCAGCCACACUGGAACUGAGACACGGUCCAUACUCCUACGGGAGGCAGCAGUGGGGAAUAUUGCACAAUGGGCGCAAGCCUGAUGCAGCCAUGCCGCGUGUGUGAAGAAGGCCUUCGGGUUGUAAAGCACUUUCAGCGGGGAGGCGUUACCCGCAGAAGAAGCACCGGCUAACUCCGUGCCAGCAGCCGCGGUAAUUC